Molecule: long non-coding RNA, 995 nt
Organism: Photinus pyralis (common eastern firefly)
Lineage: Eukaryota; Metazoa; Arthropoda; Insecta; Coleoptera; Lampyridae
Exons: 3
Source: RefSeq, a predicted model, not a curated record
AACAAGAAGUUCCGUUACCAUACAUUGAGACACCGUUUAAGCUACCGUUGCCAGAUACCGAGCCACAAUUCAAUAGCGUUCCCAUGAAAAAACAAUAGGUUUAUUAUUCAACAAUGUAUUCAGUCUUCAAUGUCAGCAAUUAUAACAAUAGUAGUCUGUAUAGGGAGGAAAUGGUGGAUAGAUUUAGUUUUUGCCGAGUUAGCUUUUCGAGUUCCCACAGGUUCAUUUUUUCUUUGAGUUCACUUUGCUUUGGGUAGUCAGUUAGUGUGGUGUUCAUUGUAACAGAAAGCGUUGAGUGAAAAAUAGUAAAGAGGCGCAACUGUAUAUAAAAUUGCGAUACGCUUAGACCUCUUUCUUUCUCUAAGGCGACACCUAUAUUUCUAUCUCACUUGCCGUAAUUUUCCGUGCUGCACUGACUACAAACAAGUUUACGGUUAGUGCUGCCAUCAUAUUUUAAUUUUGGACUUAAUACGAUUACGAAAGUAUGACGUCAUUCACGUCUUAUCCCGACCCGACCCCAAACAGCUGAUGAGAGUUUGUUUACCUUUUUGUAACAUGGCGUUAAUAAACUUGUCCGACCUUUUCGAGCAUUUUCUGAAGAAAUUACCGUGUUUGGUAGAAGCGAAUAUAGUUAGUGGAAAUGUGCUUGGGAUGGAAUGUAAUGAACAUGAACAAUAGAGAAUGAAGCAAGUAUGAAAAGAAAUGCAAGUGUAGGUUAAUUUAAACGAAGAAGAAUUGUACCAAGCGGCAUAAGUAACAGCAUAUCUGCGCUUUUUUGCUGUAUGCAAAUAACAAGGCAAAUAACAAUAUCAGUAAAAUCGAGAGAAAAACUGAUACAGUAUGCCAAUGGAAAGAGUCAAUCUCAAUCUCAUCUAUUGAAACAACAGUUUCUGUGUUGGAAUUGUUUCCGAAAGUACAAUGUGGUGCCACGAAUAGAGGAUGAGGUUGAAAGCACUAAACAGGUGUCCUGCUUCUUUCUAUUCCUCUUCGCCAAA